Long non-coding RNA from Amphiprion ocellaris (clown anemonefish), 2320 nucleotides. RefSeq lists it as uncharacterized. The transcript is spliced from 5 exons. Lineage: Eukaryota; Metazoa; Chordata; Actinopteri; Pomacentridae. The record is from RefSeq and is a predicted model, not a curated record.
CAGACGGUUGACUUCACAAGACCGGGGUCAACCACGACUACCAGCAUGGACGACGGCGCUUAAUGGGCGAAAAGGGCACGGGAUAUCUGAAGAAGUCAUUUUCUACAUCCGCAAGGGUACAACUGAUGGAAAUUUCAUCAUCCACGUGGGUGGAUUUGGACUUCUUGGUCUUCAGAUCCUCCAAAGACUCGUAGGUGUUGCCGUGGACAACAGCGGCCUCUCCUGGGAUCAUCUCGUAGGUGUCGUCCGGUGGCCUGGUGGUCCUCUGGGGGACAUCGGCGUACAUACCUUCACCUGGACCUCCUCCGGGCCCCUCGGAUGCCUGGUACAGCGGGUUGCACAUCUCCAGAUCGGCGCUCGACUGCUCGGGUCUGGGCUUGGGAGCAGAGUGGAGGGAGAAGGUGAGGCAGGUGACCCUCUUGGGCGAGAAGCUGCCCAGCCGGUUGGAGUACUCUUCAUCCUCCUCCUCCUCCUGCAUGUGGUCCAGCCGGGGCAGAGACCGGCUCCGGAUCUCCACCUGAGUCGGCUCAGAAGAGGUGAGUCCGGCCAGGUCGAGGUCACCUGGGAAGUCGGCAUUGGUGGAGGUUGAGGAGUCCGACGUCAACUUCCUGUUUCCUCUGAGCCUCUCAGGUUGGCUGUAGUCGGGUUCAGUCGGAUGUGAAGUCGUGUCGGGCAAAGAUCCACUCAGAGAGAAACCCAGAGGAAGACCUCGUUUAGGAACUGGAGGAACCUGAAGAACAAAAUCAGAAAAAUGCACGAGAACAUUUCUGGAGAGAUUCUGAGUGUGCUGAUCACGAGUCCCUGGAACCAGUCGGGCAAGUUUCCGUUCUGCAGAAUGUUUGGUGCCUGAGUCUCAGUGAACCACCUCAGAACCAGAUCCUUCAGACCUCCAGGACCCAGAUCCUUCAGACCUCCAGAACCCAGAUCCUUCAGACCUCCAGAACCCAGAUCCUUCAGACCUCCAGAGCUGGUGUCCAUCCUGGGAGCUGAACAGGUGAACAGGAUGUGUCCAGGUGAGGCUGCAGAGGAGGAGGGGCUCAUUUGACUAUUCCUGACUGCUGGUAUUGUUCCAGUCCAGCCAGCUAGUCUGCUCUUCCCCCCAGUGAGCCGACACUUUCAUUUUCCUAUCUCAGUUCCUGGUCCCAGAUUGAACUUAAACAGGAAGCAUUCACUUUGUGUUGCGUUUAAACUGUGGUGGGACAUUUUAUUAAAUAAACAUUUUAUUUUGUGGAAAAACUUCACAGCAAAUACUUCUAAACAUACAUCUGUGAGGUCUAAGUGAAAAUUAAAAAGUGUCAGUAGCAUUAAAAACCAACAAAUAAUAAAAUAAAUAUAAUAACUGUUUAUUCUGCAGAGAGUAAAUGUGGCGCCCCCUACAGAGGAGUCUACUCACCACAAUCACAAGAACAGAAUGAAAAUAGCAACUAAAUGUUUCAACUUGUUUUAUUUGGGGUUUUAAACCUUUCAGUUCAUCAACAGAUCAGCACUGAUGAAUAUUUAAACCAGGAACAUAUUCGUCACAAAAAAAACACUAAAUGAAGGGUUUAAUUAAAAAUCACUCAUUAACUAUUUAAAUAUAAAAACUACAUUUUCCUGCACCACCACAGCUUCUGCGCGCGACACGACAGGUGUCAUAGCUUCAGGCGCGAGCUGAACAGGUGGUCGAGCGAGGAGACGAGAGCGCGCACUACUGCCAAAUCUCAGUUAUAAAACGCCAAAUUGAAUCAUUUACGCAUAUUUCUGCAAAAUUACAAAUUAUUUCAGCACUUUAUUGAUAAUUCUCUAAUUUAUAUAGUUCAGGUAACAAUUCGGCUUACAAUAAACACAUAUAAAGUAAUUUUAUGUAACAUUUUUUCCGACUUUCCACAUCUACACAGUCGUCGUGUCUAUGAACAGCGCUGUCUUAAAUUGGUAGUUUUGUGAAUGGAGUUCUGAAUAGGGCUGAGGGGCGACGUGUUUAUUCCUCGUGGUCUGUGGGACAAAACUCUGCAGACAGACUCGGAGCUGGAGGACAUGAAGCAUUUUAAACCGGAUAACAGAUGAAAACUGAGGAUUUAUUCUAACUGCAAAUUUAAAAGUGAAACCUGCAGAAUGGAUUUAUUCAAGCAGCAGAAAGUGGAGGACUUCUAUGAGAUUGGUGAAGAGCUGGGAAGGUAAAAAUAAUGUCUCAGUGUUUGCAUCCGUUUUAAAUGUCAUUUAAUGAAUAAAAGUGUUUUUUAAUAUGACUCAGCCCUUCAGUACAGAAACCAACUGGUGCUUCACAAUUAUUAAAUUUAAAAUUAUUAUUUUAUCGGCUGAUUUGUUAAUUCUUGUAUUUUAA